UACGAAGGGGGCUAGCGUUGUUCGGAAUUACUGGGCGUAAAGCGCGCGCAGGUGGUCCUUCAAGUCAGGGGUGAAAGCCCAGAGCUCAACUCUGGAACUGCCUUUGAGACUGAGGGACUUGGGUACGGGAGAGGUGAGUGGAAUUCCGAGUGUAGAGGUGAAAUUCGUAGAUAUUCGGAAGAACACCAGUGGCGAAGGCGGCUCACUGGCCCGUUACCGACACUCAGGCGCGAUAGCGUGGGGAGCAAACAGG
This 253-nucleotide unclassified non-coding RNA is filed under the name uncultured Alphaproteobacteria bacterium. RNAcentral describes it as "contains 16S-23S intergenic spacer region". It matches the Rfam family "Bacterial small subunit ribosomal RNA", at positions 524 to 776 of the family's 1533-position model. Lineage: Bacteria; Pseudomonadati; Pseudomonadota; Alphaproteobacteria. The record is from RNAcentral.